UACUUCUCCUUCGAAACACACACUCAAGCCGUAGGGUUCCCCAAACGACCAAACCUAAAACCCAGCUUCGUCAACGGAACCGCCGCCGCCGUCCGUGGUUGUCGGCGCCUCCGGGGCCUCCUCCUUCCCCUGUCCCAAAUCCAUAUGGCCAGACCUUCUCUUCUAGGCUUUCUAGCUCGGCACGUCGUCCUGUCUUCGUCGGUGACUUCGCUGUUCGAGGCUUCCAGCUGCUACGCCGUCGUAUCUCCGUCGUCGUCCUGCUGUCAGUGGAAGAUGGAAGUAUUAAUCAAGAAGCAGUGGCUGAUAACAAUGCAUCUUUGAGUUUAGAGCAAAGAAGCUCCUCGAGCAGGCAACAUUGUUGAACAGGUCAAUAAUACACCAAACAGAUUGUGGUUCAAAUUAGAGUGGUCUUGGCAUUUGUUGGGGAGAAUAGAGCACUGCAAGGUUACUCAUCUGCACUGUGGAUUGUUCAGCAGCGGCUCCGAAAAGAGCACCGUUGUGUCCCUCAUAGAGAGAUUCUAUGACCGUUUAUCAGGACAAAUUUUGCUAGAUGGGAAUGAUGUUAAGAGUUUGAAGCCAAAAUGGUUGAGGCAGCAAAUAGGACUAGUGAGCCAAGACUGGCUUUGUUUGCGACAACAUUCAGAAGCUGACCAAGUUGAGAUUGAAGAAGCUGCAAGAGUAGCCAAGUUUAUAAUUUAUUUAUUUUAUUCUAAAACGAUUUUUUUGGUUGAACCACGGUUAGAUCGGUUGGAUCAAUAAACUAGUGAACCAGUAAUUAAAAUGGUUUGAUGAUCCGAUCCGGUUCUCAGAACCUUGGAUAUAAUCACCAAUAUUUAUUUUUAAAAUUGUCUGAUUAAAA
Molecule: long non-coding RNA, 859 nt
Organism: Arachis duranensis
Lineage: Eukaryota; Viridiplantae; Streptophyta; Magnoliopsida; Fabales; Fabaceae
Exons: 5
Source: RefSeq, a predicted model, not a curated record